RNAcentral lists this small RNA (1026 nucleotides) under Pan troglodytes (chimpanzee). RNAcentral describes it as "retained intron". The record is from RNAcentral. Lineage: Eukaryota; Metazoa; Chordata; Mammalia; Primates; Hominidae.
AUUGAGGCCUCGGGUGGGGGGUGGCGCCCAGGCUGAUGCAGGGGAACUGAAGCAAAAAGAUUCCAUCCCACAGGCCAAGAGCGAAAUCAGUGUUACCUCCUUUAGCCAGAGAACUGGGUGCACCUGAGCCAGUGGAGAUUUGUGACUUCUCCUUCUUCUAGGAGUGCGUGAUCAGAAUGGUGUCUGGACGGUUCUACUUGUCCUGCCUGCUGCUGGGGUCCCUGGGCUCUAUGUGCAUCCUCUUCACUAUCUACUGGAUGCAGUACUGGCGUGGUGGCUUUGCCUGGAAUGGCAGCAUCUACAUGUUCAACUGGCACCCAGUGCUUAUGGUUGCUGGCAUGGUGGUAUUCUAUGGAGGUGCGUCGCUGGUGUACCGCCUGCCCCAGUCGUGGGUGGGGCCCAAACUGCCCUGGAAACUCCUCCAUGCAGCGCUGCACCUGAUGGCCUUCGUCCUCACUGUUGUGGGGCUGGUUGCUGUCUUUACGUUUCACAACCAUGGAAGGACUGCCAACCUCUACUCCCUGCACAGCUGGCUGGGCAUCACCACUGUCUUCCUCUUCGCCUGCCAGAGCGCUCUCUGCUAACUUUGUCAUGGCACGCACUAUGCUGACUCUAAUCAGCCAUCUGGCUUCCACUUUCCCCACUCCCACCUCUGUGAACCAAAAGAAUUCUUGAAGUGGUUUCCAUAUUCUGAUCUCAGGUCUGUGCGAGUGAAGAGUUUUAUGAGCAAGGACUGGAAGGAACCAGAGACAAACAAGGUGGUUGGGUUUGCUGGGAGUGGGAUGGUAGCUAAGCAUGUCAUUUACUGUUCUUGUUGCUUGGGUAAUAGGCCACAAUGAGGAAGCUAGCACGGUAGUGGGCAAUGCCAGGUGGGAAGGUUUGAGUUGUGAAAGAAGAGCCAGGGAGCAGAGAUGGGGAGGAGGCACUGAUGGGGUGGGAUGUGCUUUGGUCACACAUAGCACAGUCGGGUGCGUCCUCCCUUUUGUCCACAGUGGUUCCUGGGCUUUGCUGUCUUCCUCCUGCCCU